CGGAUUGUAGGCUGCAACUCGCCUACAUGAAGUCGGAAUCGCUAGUAAUCGCGGAUCAGCAUGCCGCGGUGAAUACGCUCCCGGGCCUUGUACACACCGCCCGUCACACCACGAGAGUUUGUAACACCCAAAGCCGGUGGGGUAACCUUUUGGAGCCAGCCGUCUAAGGUGGGACAGAUGGAUUGGGGUGAAGUCGUAACAAGGUAGC
This 208-nucleotide ribosomal RNA is filed under the name uncultured bacterium. RNAcentral's name for it is "partial 16S ribosomal RNA". It matches the Rfam family "Bacterial small subunit ribosomal RNA", at positions 1294 to 1500 of the family's 1533-position model. The record is from RNAcentral.